GUCGAUCGCAACGACGUUAUCAGAUGUAACUGCUGUAUGAGAGCAUUGCUGAGCGGCGGCCUUGAGCUAGCCAUCGGGGCACGCUCACAUGCACUAGCA
Long non-coding RNA from Sebastes umbrosus (honeycomb rockfish), 99 nucleotides. RefSeq lists it as uncharacterized. The record is from RefSeq and is a predicted model, not a curated record. NCBI's taxonomy places the organism in Eukaryota, Metazoa, Chordata, Actinopteri, Perciformes, Sebastidae. The transcript has 3 exons.